Molecule: ribosomal RNA, 497 nt
Filed under: uncultured bacterium
Lineage: Bacteria
Description: partial 16S ribosomal RNA
Rfam family: Bacterial small subunit ribosomal RNA
Source: RNAcentral
GAUGAACGCUGGCGGCGUGCCUAAUACAUGCAAGUCGAGCGAACGGACGCGAAGCUUGCUUCUCUGUUGUUAGCGGCGGACGGGUGAGUAACACGUGUAUAACCUCCCUAUCAUACUGGUAUAACUUCGGGAAACCGGAUCUAAUACCGUAUAAUAUUUUGAACCGCGUGGUUCAAUAGUGAAAGACGGUGUUUCUGUCACUUCUAGAUGGAUCCGCGCUUCAUUGGCUAGUUGUUAAGGUAACGGAGUACCAAGGCAACGAUGCAUGGCCGAACUGAGAGGGUGGUCAGCCACACUGGAAGGGAGACACGGUACAGACGCCUACGGGAGGCAGCAGUAGGGAAUCGUCCGCAAUGGGCGAAAGCCUGACCGAGCAACGCCGCGGGAGUGAGGAAGGACGUCGGAUGGGAGAACACUGUUAUUAGGGAAGAACAUAUGUGCAAGUAACUGGGAACAUCAUGAAGGUAACUAAUCAGAGAACCACGGGUAAAUUCGGU